RNAcentral lists this unclassified non-coding RNA (2935 nucleotides) under Hevea brasiliensis (rubber tree). Lineage: Eukaryota; Viridiplantae; Streptophyta; Magnoliopsida; Malpighiales; Euphorbiaceae. The record is from RNAcentral.
CUGGUGUUAUAUUUUUUUCGAGUUUCAUAAAAUUAUUAACAUCACAUAUAUGCUUAAUUAGGGGAUCAUUGGACAAGUUCACAUGGUGCAUGAAAUUCAAUAAAUAAUGGUUAUUUGUAUCACUAGAGACCAAUCCUCACUUGCAAACAAAAUUAAACCCAGUAAAAAUUAAGCUUUCUCACACGUAUCCAAUGGUGCCCUGGCUAUCCUUUUCAGUACAUAUUAUUGUUCUUGUUCUUGCUUGCAACAUCUUGGCUGCCUCUGGCAAUAAUGAGACAGACCUGCUUGCCCUGCUCAAAUUCAAGGCCAACAUUAAUGGCGACCCGCUAGGAGUUGUCCAUUCAUGGAAUUCUACCCUGAACUUCUGCCAUUGGCAUGGUGUUACGUGUGGCCGUAGACACCAGAGGGUGACUGUGCUAGACUUGCAGUCCCUCAAGCUCUCUGGCUCCAUAUCACCCCAUGUUGGCAAUUUGAGCUUUCUAAGGUAAUUAAACCUCCAAAACAAUAGCUUCACUCAAGCGAUCCCUCCCCAAAUCGGUCGUUUACACCGUCUGCAGAAUUUAUUUCUGCAGAACAACUCGUUUAGCGGCGAAAUCCCACCUAACAUAUCUGGUUGUUCUAACCUUGUUACAUUCCAAGUUCAAAAUAACCAGCUGGAAGGAUCAAUUCCAAUGGAGCUUGGCUUCUUGUCCAAGGUUCAAAUCAUUCAUCUGCAAAGAAACAAUCUGACAGGAACCAUCCCUCCAUCUGUGGGGAAUUUGUCAUCCCUUCAAGCAAUCUAUGCCAGUGAUAAUAAUUUCUUUGGGAGAUUCCCUCAUUCUCUAGGCCAAUUAAUGAAUCUUACUAUAUGGGAUCUAUCCACAAAUGGGUUUUCAGGUACCAUCCCACCAUCCAUCUUCAAUCUUUCUUCGAUUGUGCUUUUUGAUGUAGCUUAUAAUCAGUUUGAAGGUAGCCUUCCCUCUGAGAUAGGCAAUACUUUACCAAAUAUUAAAUUUCUUUCCAUCUCCUUCAAUAACUUCACGGGUUCAAUUCCUAUUUCAAUAUCCAAUGCUUCAAACAUAGUCAGACUUCAGCUAGCUAGUAAUAAGCUUACUGGGAAAGUGCCUUCCGUGGGAAACCUACACAAGCUCAAAGGGUUUUCUGUUUCAAAAAACUACCUGGGUAGUGGCGAAGAUGAUGACCUGAGUUUUCUCCCAUCCUUGACAAACGCCACAGAUUUAGAAAGAUUAGGAAUAGAGGAGAACAAUUUUGGAGGGAGGUUACCUCAACAAAUCUGCAACUUCUCAAGAAACCUCUCAGAAAUAUAUUUCCAUGACAAUCAAAUAUAUGGAAAAAUCCCCAGUGGAAUUGAGAACCUCAUCAGCUUGAAAAUUUUCCAAUUAAAUGGUAACAAACUUUCAGGCAAUAUUCCUUCUAAUAUCGGAAAGCGUCGAAACCUCAGGAUAUUGUAUCUUUUUACCAACAAUUUCUCAGGCUACAUUCCAUCAUCUUUAGGAAACCUGACCGAGUUGCUUCAAUUCAGCUUGAGAGAAAAUAAUCUUCAUGGCAAUAUCCCUUCCAGCCUAGGGAAAUGCCAAAAACUGCUAGCUUUCGAACUUUCUUUCAACAAUCUUAGUGGUACCAUACCCCCACAACUUAUGAGUCUCUCCUCUUUAUCUAUACUUGUUGAUUUGUCUUAUAACCAUUUGAAUGGUGAUCUUCCCAUAGAAGUUGGAAAGUUGGGUAGCUUGGGGGUUUUGGAUGUUUCUAAUAAUAUGUUGUCGGGUAAGAUUCCUGAAAGUCUUGGAAGUUGCAAUAGUUUAGAAGUGUUGCACAUGGCUGGAAACUUUUUCCAAGGGCCCAUUCCUUCAUCUUUUGAAUCAUUGAGGGGUCUUCGAGUAUUAGAUCUUUCCCGUAACAAUUUGUCUGGCAAAAUUGCAGAGUUUCUGCAAGAUUUUAAGUUAUUGGCAAAGUUAAAUCUAUCAUACAAUGAUUUUGAAGGUGAAGUGCCACUAAACGGAGUUUUCAAGAAUGCAAGGGCAACAUGGAUCAAGGGAAAUAAUAAACUUUGUGGUGGGAUUCCUGAAUUUCAGCUGCCUAUAUGCGAAAUAUCAACUUACGGUGAUGUAUAUGGUUAUGGCAUAAUCUUAUUGGAAAUGUUCACAGCGAAGAGACCUACUGAUAGCAUAUUUAUGGAAGGUUUGAGCCUUCAUAAUUUUGUCAAAAUAGCUUUACCUGAAAGAGUCGCAGAUAUUGUAGAUCCAAUUCUUCUUGAAGGAAGAUCCAUGAUCCUGGGCAACUCAAUUUCAAACCAUAAUCACAAUUUUAGUAGCGUUCAGAAUAACAUAAUUAUUGAGUGCUUGAUUUCAAUAUUUGAAAUUGGAAUAUCUUGUUCUGUUGAGUUACCAAGAGAACGAAUGAAUAUCAAUGAUGUUGUUGCUCAACUUAGUUCAACAAAAAAGAAACUUCUUAAAGCUCGAGUGCAUUAAGAGAAAGGGAAUACAUUUGACGAAGCAGGUAUUCAUUUUGUCAUCUAUCUUCAAAUCUAAGUAUAUAUGAAGUCACACAUAUAUAUGUAUAUUGCUUGUCAUUUUUUUCUCUAUGUUAAAAAUUUAAAAUGUUAUGAUAAUUGUUAUAAAGUCUUAAUAUCAACUUAAAAUCAAAGAUUUAGAACUCUAAUUAAUUAUUCUUAAUUCUUUUAUUCGAAGGUAUACAAGAUGACUCAAGUGGAAAGCAUGCAGUACUCCUAAUUGACAGAAACUAGCACAAGCAUUUAUGUUAAUAAAUAGUAAAGAUGAUAGUGCGACGGCAAAUUGUAUUUCCUAUUAAGCUUUUGAUCGUGUUGUUGUUUCAUCUUAUGGAUAAUGGGCCUCUACUAAGCUUUGAAAUAAUUUUGUAUUGGAUAUUGUUCUUAGGUAAUGUCUUUAAUUAAACUAUCUUUUAUAAUUGAUUUGUG